RNAcentral lists this transfer RNA (76 nucleotides) under Thermogladius calderae 1633. RNAcentral describes it as "tRNA-His". It matches the Rfam family "tRNA". From Rfam's summary of the family: Transfer RNA (tRNA) molecules are approximately 80 nucleotides in length. Their secondary structure includes four short double-helical elements and three loops (D, anti-codon, and T loops). Further hydrogen bonds mediate the characteristic L-shaped molecular structure. tRNAs have two regions of fundamental functional importance: the anti-codon, which is responsible for specific mRNA codon recognition, and the 3' end, to which the tRNAs corresponding amino acid is attached (by aminoacyl-tRNA synthetases). tRNAs cope with the degeneracy of the genetic code in two manners: having more than one tRNA (with a specific anti-codon) for a particular amino acid; and 'wobble' base-pairing, i.e. permitting non-standard base-pairing at the 3rd anti-codon position. Lineage: Archaea; Thermoproteati; Thermoproteota; Thermoprotei; Desulfurococcales; Desulfurococcaceae. The record is from RNAcentral.
GGCCCGGGUAGCUCAGCCUGGUAGAGCGCCGGGCUGUGGAGACCCGGAGGUCCCGGGUUCAAAUCCCGGCCCGGGC